RNAcentral lists this ribosomal RNA (358 nucleotides) under uncultured Pelotomaculum sp. RNAcentral describes it as "bacterial SSU rRNA". It matches the Rfam family "Bacterial small subunit ribosomal RNA", at positions 1024 to 1382 of the family's 1533-position model. The record is from RNAcentral. Lineage: Bacteria; Bacillati; Bacillota; Clostridia; Eubacteriales; Desulfotomaculaceae.
CGGGAGCUGUACAGGUGCUGCAUGGCUGUCGUCAGCUCGUGUCGUGAGAUGUUCGGUUAAGUCCCGCAACGAGCGCAACCCUACGUUUAGUUGCUAACGCGUGAAGGCGAGCACUCUAGACGAACUGCCGUUGACAAAACGGAGGAAGGUGGGGAUGACGUCAAAUCAUCAUGCCCCUUAUGUUCUGGGCUACACACGUGCUACAAUGGCCGGUACAGACGGACGCAAAGCCGCGAGGCGGAGCAAAUCCGAAAAAGCCGGUCUCAGUUCGGAUUGCAGGCUGCAAUUCGCCUGCAUGAAGUCGGAAUCGCUAGUAAUCGCAGGUCAGCAUACUGCGGUGAAUACGUUCCCGGGCCUU